RNAcentral lists this ribosomal RNA (253 nucleotides) under uncultured bacterium. RNAcentral's name for it is "partial 16S ribosomal RNA". It matches the Rfam family "Bacterial small subunit ribosomal RNA", at positions 524 to 776 of the family's 1533-position model. The record is from RNAcentral.
UACGAAGGGGGCUAGCGUUGUUCGGAUUUACUGGGCGUAAAGCGCACGUAGGCGGAUCGUUAAGUCGGGGGUGAAAUCCUGGAGCUCAACUCCAGAACUGCCUUCGAUACUGGCGAUCUUGAGUCCGGAAGAGGUGAGUGGAACUCCUAGUGUAGAGGUGAAAUUCGUAGAUAUUGGGAAGAACACCGGUGGCGAAGGCGGCUCACUGGCUCAUUGCUGACGCUCAGGCGCGAUAGCGUGGGGAUCAAACAGG